This is a long non-coding RNA of Amblyraja radiata (thorny skate), 895 nucleotides long. RefSeq lists it as uncharacterized. Lineage: Eukaryota; Metazoa; Chordata; Chondrichthyes; Rajiformes; Rajidae. The transcript has 3 exons. The record is from RefSeq and is a predicted model, not a curated record.
UUUAAUGCCUGACCCACUGAGUAUGUUUUGAUUAUUGGUUUAAAUUUGCUGGUAUUUUCCUUCUUUCAUGUUCAGAGUCGUGAACAUGUUGUCUGCAAGCAUAUGUUGCGUUCCAUGGUUAGAUACCUUUUUUUAAAAUAGAGAAUGUGAAAUUGAGGAUGAGGAAGGUCAGAAAUGGAAAAUGUGAAGACAAGAGAAAGGUGAAAAUUGGAGCAACUUGAUAAAACAUGGGUUAGGCUCAGAAUUGGAAAGGACUCGAAUGCAGGCUUACAGAGAAGUACUGAAGAAAACCCAAAAUCCAAACACGAAUGGUACAGAAAGAUAUAGACCUGGAACCGACAGAACUCAGAACUGCUAUCGAACCGACAGAAUGCAGAACUGAUCAGUCAGCACCCAAUUGCUGAUGAUCUCAGCUAAGUAUAGGAUGUCAAGAUUUGAUCUGUGCCUGCAACAACUGUAUGCUAUCAGCCCAUCAGCCAGCUGCCAUUUCAACACUUAAGAAAAUCUUGUCUGGGUAAAUAUAUAGGAGCCCAGUAAUUAUUCCAUUGAACAUUAUUGCAAUUGAAAUCUUUCAACUGUUAAUGAGAAAAAUCACGUGGAAUUCUGCUAACAAGAUUAUUGGAAACAUAUGAAGGAAUUGAUGUCAGGAAGAAAGCCAUCUAAUUAUUCACCCAAUUAUGGUACUGUUACGAGUUAAGGAUCAGUCAUUUUAACUUCAUGCCACUAACAAUGUCACUGGUAAAGUCUAUGCCUUAUCAGAAGGCCUUCAAUUUUAAUUUGUAAUUUAUGGUGAAAGGAAAUCUGCAGAAAAUACAAUAUUAGAAUUGGCUAAUCAUUGAAUUAGCAGGAUAAUACUGGACUAUAGUUUGGGAAUAAAGCCUCUAACAACUGUAUU